This is a long non-coding RNA of Notothenia coriiceps (black rockcod), 718 nucleotides long. RefSeq lists it as uncharacterized. The transcript is spliced from 3 exons. NCBI's taxonomy places the organism in Eukaryota, Metazoa, Chordata, Actinopteri, Perciformes, Nototheniidae. The record is from RefSeq and is a predicted model, not a curated record.
GGCUAAAAUAAUUUUUAAUUAUUUAUUUAUUUAUUCAUUAUUAAUGUUAAUAAUAACGGCCGUCUGAGCCUACCGGAAGUUCCAGACGAUAGCGGCCGUGACGUCACAAGAUGGGCCCAGUUCUGAUUCUAAACAUGGCGGAGACUUUGGAAAGUGAUACAUGUGCGAGAGAAAUGAUUGAUUUUGACAGCUUUUCGGACAGGAUAGAUGAGGAAAGCGGCACAGAAGAUGGAAGUGACGAUGAGGAAGCGCAGGACAUCAUUGAACCCUACAGAUUUGAGCCGUCAGGGACGUCAAGUGGGGAGGAUGAUGGCGACGACAUGGACGAUGGGGAAGACAUUGACCGGCUACAGAACACUGAAUGGUGUCAGUGUGCGACAACUGUAACAACAUGGACACUGUAGCCGAGAUGUCUGCUGUCGGGAAAUCCCCGCUGUCACCAGGACCAUGGAGGAGGAUGGUGUCCACAGCUGCAUAAUGCACCACCCGGCUUCUCGAUCUGGCCUGGUCUAGACAUCUGUGGCGUGCUGCGUAUAGCAUUACUGUGGAUACAGGCAACAUUAUGGCCAUCUCCAGCAAGAGGGCAAUGAACGCCACCCGAUACACAGCCUACCGCCAGCUGGUGGAGACUUUGCUUGGCGUUACCUAGGCUGUGUGUACGCGACAUAAUAGAGUGUGCCACUGGCCCGUAUCUUGUGCAGUGAACCCAAAUUUCCGU